GUGGUACCACUCAAGCUCCAGAGGGGUUAGAGACUAAGGGUAGUCACAUGGGUGAACAGAAUGUCCGAAUGGCCAACUCCCAGUAAAAACUCUGGACAACAAAGCUUGGGUCCUAGACAGUGCAAUACACAAAAGAAAUAUGAGCUAUAAUUAUUGGAAUGAAGAAACUGUCAUGAUUACAGAAGGAGAGGAAAAGGCCCAACACCUGCCUGUCAGGGCUCCUGGAUCACGCCCUGCUGCCUGCUGACCUAUAUUGGACUCGAGCCCUUCUUCUGGCAUGCUCACCUGUUAACCCACCUAUCAGCCCACACCUCUGACUGCUGGCUGCUCCCCAUUGAGCCUGAAAUACUGUGCUAUCUGCCUGUACCCUUUUGCAUAAGCUGGGGUUGGGUUAUCUCAGAUUUCUAUUUGGGUCAAGAUUGCCACAUACCUCACCUCUUCUGUUCUGGUCCUCAUCCUGUGUUCCUGGACAAAAAUAACAUUUGAGUAGAAAGCUUUUCUACUUGUUGACAUAGUUGAACAGAUUUUGCUUUAUUGAGAUGAAAUGGAGCCUAAAUUUAUCUGGAAAUGUGUGGAAUCAGUAGAGAGAAGUAAACACAACUCGAAGAAAGCGGGAAACCCCUGUGUACAAUUCAGCUUUUUCACUCCCAGGGAGUUGGGCAUGAUUGUAAAGAAUGAUGUUUUCAAGCCUGCCAAUAACAGAACACGUCUGUAUCCAUUGUGGAUGGGCUUCUUUGAGAAAGCUUCCUUUUCGCCCAAGUAGAGGAGCUCUUCACUGCCCUAAGAUUCUGCUUUCCUACUCCCAUGUCAGAGCAGGAAAAGGUGAAUAUUUUUCACACAGAAUAGCCUCAUCCAUUCCCACGGGGAGUGAGAUAGUUCCUGUAGGGUGCUAGUGAUGGCAUAAAAUUACAGCUCACUAGAGAAACAGUUGCGAGUAAAGAAAUAUAUACAUUUCCUCUAUUUGUGUUCCCUGUCUGUGUUGUCUAAGUUGCAAACAACAGACUCCACUUCAGCUAGGUUAAAGGGAAAAGAGGUUUAAUAAAGAAAAUUAAAUAGCUUAUAGCAUCACUGGGGAACUAGAGAAACAGAUUUAAGGCUAAGCUUCCAGAAACAUAUCCCAAAACAUGCCCCCAAACCGUGACACUGACAUGAAGAGACAGUUGUCAUUGCUGCUUUAUUGAACAGAGGACUGAGAAUUUUUCUACAGUCACUGCUGUUCUCUGCACUGAUGGAAGCCAAGCCUGCCUGGAGAACUCAACUUUGCAACCCAAAGCUGGUGGCUAAUGUGGCUACCCCUACCAACAAAAUGGAAACUCCACCAGGUGUCUGAAUCCAGCUCUCACGACCAUUUAGUGGAGCAGGAAGAAACUGCAGGCCUUUUGGAGGUAUUUCCUUGUGAUUCUGGUCCAAUCCACCACCACCGUCUCACGCUUAGAACCCUGCAAUCCUUCUCUUUUAAUAAUCGAGGUGAAAGAAUCCAAGAAAAGUUGGCACUAUGAAGACAAUAUGCCCAAGAUAGAUUUCUCAAGACUUCCUUUGUUUUUUUCCUCUGAAUGACAAAGCUGCCCACGCGUGGGACCUGCUCAUUCUGUUGCCUGGAUGUCUUCUCCAACAGCACCAGAAUCCCUAAGGUAGCUGGUAUCAAGCCAUGAAUUCUCCUUAUUGAGUUUAUGCUUUUCCAAGAGUCUUUGAAAUGCAAGUUGUAAGAAAAGUGAAAGCACAUGAUGACUUGGUUAAACAUACAAAAUCUAUUCAUG
Molecule: long non-coding RNA, 1757 nt
Filed under: Homo sapiens (human)
Lineage: Eukaryota; Metazoa; Chordata; Mammalia; Primates; Hominidae
Description: HSALNT0225304
Source: RNAcentral